ACCCGCACAAGCGGUGGAUCAUGUUGUUUAAUUCGAUGAUACGCGAAGAACCUUACCAGGUCUUGACAUCCCCGCAAUGCUAUGGAGACAUAGCGGAGGUAUUCGGGGAGACAGGUGGGUGCAUGGUUGUCGUCAGCUCGUGUCGUGAGAUGUUGGGUUAAGUCCCGCAACGAGCGCAACCCUCGACCUUAGUUGCCAGCAUUCAGUUGGGCACUCUAAGGUGACUGCCGGCUAAAAGUCGGAGGAAGGUGGGGAUGACGUCAAAUCAUCAUGCCCCUUAUGACCUGGGCUACACACGUGCUACAAUGGGCGGUACAAAGGGUCGCGAACCCGCGAGGGGGAGCCAAUCCCAAAAAGCCGCUCUCAGUUCGGAUUGCAGGCUGCAACUCGCCUGCAUGAAGCCGGAAUCGCUAGUAAUCGCGGAUCAGCAUGCCGCGGUGAAUACGUUCCCGGGCCUU
This 458-nucleotide ribosomal RNA is filed under the name uncultured Anoxybacillus sp. Its description in RNAcentral is "bacterial SSU rRNA". It matches the Rfam family "Bacterial small subunit ribosomal RNA", at positions 919 to 1382 of the family's 1533-position model. Lineage: Bacteria; Bacillati; Bacillota; Bacilli; Caryophanales; Anoxybacillaceae. The record is from RNAcentral.